This 213-nucleotide long non-coding RNA is filed under the name Capsicum annuum. RNAcentral's name for it is "long non-coding RNA (CANN_LNC002520)". Lineage: Eukaryota; Viridiplantae; Streptophyta; Magnoliopsida; Solanales; Solanaceae. The record is from RNAcentral.
ACUGGUGCACCCCAUGGGGAAAUGUUGGGUUUGAUAAAUCCCUUAUCUAAGAGAUCCUUCAACUCUUAUUUCAAUUCUAUGAGUUCUAAUAAUGCCAUUUUGUAUGGCAAAAUAGAGAUAGGCUGAGUGUCUGGAAUAAGAUCAAUACCGAAGUCUAUUUCCCUUUCAGGAGGAAUCCCUGGAAGAUCUUUGGGAAAGACGUCUGAAUAUUCA